Molecule: ribosomal RNA, 373 nt
Filed under: Oxyrrhis marina
Lineage: Eukaryota; Dinophyceae; Oxyrrhinales; Oxyrrhinaceae
Description: partial Bacterial large subunit ribosomal RNA
Rfam family: Bacterial large subunit ribosomal RNA
Source: RNAcentral
GGGAGGCGUAGCGAAAGCGAGUCCGAAUAGGGCGUAUAGUUGCUGGGUGUAGACCCGAAACCAAGUGAUCUAUCCAUGGCCAGGUUGAAGAUGCCGUAACAGGCAUUGGAGGACCGAACCCACAAAUGUUGAAAAAUUUGGGGAUGAGCUGUGGAUCGGAGUGAAAGGCUAAUCAAGCCUGGAGAUAGCUGGUUCUCCGCGAAAUCUAUUUAGGUAGAGCGUCAUCCGAAUACCCCGGGGGGUAGAGCACUGGAUGGGUAAUGGGGCCCCACAGGCUUACUGAUCCUAACCAAACUCCGAAUACCCGGGAGUACUAGAUGGCAGACACACGGCGGAUGCUAACGUCCGUCGUGGAGAGGGAAACAACCCUGAC